GACGAACGCUGGCGGCGUGCCUAAUACAUGCAAGUAGAACGCUGAAGGAGGAGCUUGCUUCUCCGGAUGAGUUGCGAACGGGUGAGUAACGCGUAGGUAACCUGCCUGGUAGCGGGGGAUAACUAUUGGAAACGAUAGCUAAUACCGCAUAACAGUAGAUGUUGCAUGACAUUUGCUUAAAAGGUGCAAUUGCAUCACUACCAGAUGGACCUGCGUUGUAUUAGCUAGUUGGUGAGGUAACGGCUCACCAAGGCGACGAUACAUAGCCGACCUGAGAGGGUGAUCGGCCACACGGGGACUGGGACACGGCCCAGACUCCUACGGGAGGCAGCAGGGGGGAAUUUUGGGCAAUGGGCGAAAGUCUGACCGAGCAACGCCGCGUGGGUGAAGAAGGGUUUCGGGUUGUAAAGCUCUUUUGUAAGGAAAGAACGGGUGGGGGGGUGGAAGGUUCCCCCAUGAAGGGAUCGGAACAAGAAGGGGAGGCUAAAUUCGGG
Molecule: ribosomal RNA, 494 nt
Filed under: uncultured bacterium
Lineage: Bacteria
Description: partial 16S ribosomal RNA
Rfam family: Bacterial small subunit ribosomal RNA
Source: RNAcentral